RNAcentral lists this ribosomal RNA (466 nucleotides) under uncultured bacterium. Its description in RNAcentral is "partial 16S ribosomal RNA". It matches the Rfam family "Bacterial small subunit ribosomal RNA", at positions 28 to 507 of the family's 1533-position model. The record is from RNAcentral.
GAUGAACGCUGGCGGCGUGCUUAACACAUGCAAGUCGAACGAUGACGCCCAGCUUGCUGGGUGGCUUAGUGGCGAACGGGUGAGUAACACGCGAGUAACCUGCCCUUAACUCUGGGAUAAGCCUGGGAAACUGGGUCUAAUACCGGAUAGGAGCGUCCACCGCAUGGUGGGUGUUGGAAAGAUUUAUCGGAUUUGGAUGGACUCGCGGCCUGUCAGCUUGUUGGUGAGGUAAUGGCUCACCAAGGCGACGACAGGUCGCCGGCCUGGGCGGGGGACCGGCCACACUGGGAUUGGGACACGACCCAGACUCCUACGGGAGGCAACGGUGGGGAAUAUUGCACAGUGGGCGCGAGCCUGAUGCAGCGACGCCGCGUGGGGUAUGACGGCCUGCGGUUUGUAAACCUCUUUCAGUAGGGAAGAAGCGAAAGUGACGGUACCUGCAGAAUAAGCACCGGCUAACUACGUG